This 72-nucleotide transfer RNA is filed under the name Bos taurus (domestic cattle). It matches the Rfam family "tRNA". Rfam says of the family: Transfer RNA (tRNA) molecules are approximately 80 nucleotides in length. The record is from Rfam by way of RNAcentral. RNAcentral also lists the same sequence under 1 other name. Lineage: Eukaryota; Metazoa; Chordata; Mammalia; Artiodactyla; Bovidae.
UCCCCGGUGGUCCAGUGGUUAGGACUCCAUGCUCUCACUGCCGUGGCCCAGGUUCAAUCCCUGGUCAGGGAA